RNAcentral lists this ribosomal RNA (465 nucleotides) under Vreelandella stevensii. RNAcentral's name for it is "partial 16S ribosomal RNA". It matches the Rfam family "Bacterial small subunit ribosomal RNA", at positions 338 to 795 of the family's 1533-position model. Lineage: Bacteria; Pseudomonadati; Pseudomonadota; Gammaproteobacteria; Oceanospirillales; Halomonadaceae. The record is from RNAcentral.
CCUACGGGGGGCAGCAGUGGGGAAUAUUGGACAAUGGGGGCAACCCUGAUCCAGCCAUGCCGCGUGUGUGAAGAAGGCCCUCGGGUUGUAAAGCACUUUCAGUGAGGAAGAACGCCUGGUGGUUAAUACCCAUCAGGAAAGACAUCACUCACAGAAGAAGCACCGGCUAACUCCGUGCCAGCAGCCGCGGUAAUACGGAGGGUGCGAGCGUUAAUCGGAAUUACUGGGCGUAAAGCGCGCGUAGGUGGCUUGAUAAGCCGGUUGUGAAAACCCCGGGCUCAACCUGGGAACGGCAUCCGGAACUGUCAAGCUAGAGUGCAGGAGAGGAAGGUAGAAUUCCCGGUGUAGCGGUGAAAUGCGUAGAGAUCGGGAGGAAUACCAGUGGCGAAGGCGGCCUUCUGGACUGACACUGACACUGAGGUGCGAAAGCGUGGGUAGCAAACAGGAUUAGAUACCCUUGUAGUC